RNAcentral lists this ribosomal RNA (251 nucleotides) under uncultured bacterium. RNAcentral describes it as "partial 16S ribosomal RNA". It matches the Rfam family "Bacterial small subunit ribosomal RNA", at positions 28 to 280 of the family's 1533-position model. The record is from RNAcentral.
GACGAACGCUGGCGGCGUGCUUAACACAUGCAAGUCGAGCGGUAAGGCCCUUUCGGGGGUACACGAGCGGCGAACGGGUGAGUAACACGUGGGUGACCUGCCCUCAGCUCUGGGAUAAGCCUGGGAAACCGGGUCUAAUACUGGAUAUGACUCCAUGACGCAUGUUGUGGGGUGGAAAGCCUUGUGCGGCUGAGGAUGGGCCCGCGGCCUAUCAGCUUGUUGGUGGGGUGAUGGCCUACCAAGGCGACGAC